AAAGUAGAAGCAAACUCUACGAUGAUUGGAGUGGAAACCAUUUUUGUAGGAUUAGGCCUCUUCAUACUGAUCUGAGUCAGACUUUGCAUAGCUGAAGUUUUUUUCCUCUACUAUUCAAUUAACCAGUAGAGAAAAACUGACGCUUAAGAGGUUAAUGGAGCUUAAAUUUUACCAAAUUCAGACCAUAACUCUAUUUAUGUACUGGUCCUAGUGUUUCCAAGAGAAUAUAUCUCUCAGCUUAAAUUUUACUAAAAUUCAGACCAUAACUUAUUUAUGUACUGGUCCUAAUAAGAUGAAUGUUUUAAGGGUUUAUGGCUUGCUUAAGAAGAGCCAAAACUCUCUAUAA
Molecule: RNA transcript, 346 nt
Organism: Arabidopsis thaliana (thale cress)
Lineage: Eukaryota; Viridiplantae; Streptophyta; Magnoliopsida; Brassicales; Brassicaceae
Exons: 1
Source: RefSeq